RNAcentral lists this transfer RNA (74 nucleotides) under Methanocorpusculum sp. RNAcentral describes it as "tRNA-Arg". It matches the Rfam family "tRNA". From Rfam's summary of the family: Transfer RNA (tRNA) molecules are approximately 80 nucleotides in length. Lineage: Archaea; Methanobacteriati; Methanobacteriota; Methanomicrobia; Methanomicrobiales; Methanocorpusculaceae. The record is from RNAcentral.
GCACCGAUGGGGUAGCCAGGAUAUCCUUAAGGCCUCCGGAGCCUUGGACGCGGGUUCGAAUCCCGCCCGGUGCG